AAGCACCGCCUUUGAACCGGAUGUGGCUUCCGUAGCCCUUCAGGCCAAGCAGCAGUGCUAGAGCAUAAGGACUUGUUAUAACUGGGGUUCUUCAGCUUUGGACUGAAAUGCUCUUUUAAACACAAGGCACAUCA
Molecule: small nucleolar RNA, 134 nt
Organism: Pogona vitticeps (central bearded dragon)
Lineage: Eukaryota; Metazoa; Chordata; Lepidosauria; Squamata; Agamidae
Source: Ensembl